UACAGAGGGUGGAAGGGUUAUUCGGAAUUAUUGGGCGUAAAGAGCGCGUAGGCGGUUUGAUAAGUCUGGUGUGAAAUCCCUGGGCUCAAUUCAGGAAGCGCAUUGGAUACUGUCAGACUCGAGUACAGGAGAGGUGAGCGGAAUUCCCGGUGUAGAGGUGAAAUUCGUAGAUAUCGGGAGGAACAACAGUGGCGAAGGCGGCUCACUGGACUGUCACUGACGCUGAGGCGCGAAAGCGGGGGGAGCAAACAGG
RNAcentral lists this ribosomal RNA (253 nucleotides) under uncultured bacterium. Its description in RNAcentral is "partial 16S ribosomal RNA". It matches the Rfam family "Bacterial small subunit ribosomal RNA", at positions 524 to 776 of the family's 1533-position model. The record is from RNAcentral.